Molecule: long non-coding RNA, 4273 nt
Organism: Cyanistes caeruleus (blue tit)
Lineage: Eukaryota; Metazoa; Chordata; Aves; Passeriformes; Paridae
Source: RefSeq, a predicted model, not a curated record
AGGGAAGACAAAAACCGUUCUGACAAAAGACAAAUCGGGUAUUUCCCGUAUUUCCUUUCCAAAAUCUCGCAUCCUCCGCCUUGCAGAGCAGCGCAGCUCCGGGCGGGGCCGUGCCUGGGGAGCGCUCACUAAUGAGAUCAGUGGUUUGUUUCCAUUUAAUGGGCUGCCGGAGGCCGUGCUGUAAAACCCCGGCCCCUUUGUUUCAGCUGUAAAUUGCCAUUUAACUCGACAGCUCCGCUCCUAUUGUUCCCCGUGUAGAGACGGAGCAAGGGAUUUGACAAAGUUUUGUCCCAAAUCACCUCCUUGUUCCCCAGUUCCUGCCUUUAAAAGUUCCCAGUGUGGCUGAGCCUUGUCGUGGUCGUAGCUGGGGAUGCAGGGAGCAGCACCCCCACAUCUGCAGAGACUUACACAGGAAGGACAUUUUUUGGAGUUAUUGUAACAGCCUCGGUUGACUCACUGCACUUUCCCAUUGAAGAAGGUUGAGAAGAAAAGCCUGUGAUUUAUUUAAAAAGGGCUUUUUUCCCCCUCUCUCAGAAGCACAAUGAGCUUUUACUCGGAUGAAAGCCGUGAUUGCAGUUUGGCUCGUGUGCCCUGCAUCCCCCUGUGAGCAGGUCCCAGGCAUCACUUUGUGCAUCGCUGGCAGGCGGCGAGCGGAGCCGCAUCCGUAACCCAGCUGCUGCCACCGGGUGUCACACAGGACCCCCAGAAAGGGCCCACAGUGCCCCCUCCCCGAGGAAAGCUGGCAAGUGUGAACCUCAGCGGUGGGAAAACCUCUCGGGAAGAGGCUGCCCAGCUGGCUGAGUGUUCUCUGGGAACAGAAAAGCAGGUGCCUCCAUCCCACUGACAGAUUUCAGGAGGUGGGUCCUGUCUUUGGGGUGAAAUACAAAGAGACACCACUUCCAGAAAGCUUUCUCAGCCUUUUCCCAGCUGGCAGAACUCUGGGAAGCUCUCUGUGCCUGUGCAGAGAAUAUUUUAAUCUCUGCUGCUGUUAUUAGUAUUAUCACUGCUAAUGGUAAUCGAUAAAUUAAGGGCUAUGGGAUUCCCCACUGAGAUAUUGCUCAGCUGAGCCUUAGCACUUUGCAAACACCCGCUGGGAAAGCCAUUCCUGCUGGAAUCGCUCUGGAGCCGGCUGGGAUUGCCCUGGGGGAGAUAGAGAGUUCUAAAUCACCGUCUUGUAGAGGCUGGUGCUGGUUUAGUGCAAAGCAUAAAGAGCCCACAAAGGCUUUUGUGCUGCGGGUUGGAGUGACACAAUUCCUGCCCAUGCCAAAGGGAUGAGAAAUCAGGGAUGCUGUCUUUAACAAAUCCGGAUUUUUUUUCUUGUGAAAGCCCAAGAUCUUUCAAUUUGGCCCGUAUGUGACAACAUGGUGAGGCUGGCAAAGGUGAAAUAAUCUGAAAUAUUCCAGGUAACAAGGGACAGGAGAAGAGGAAACAGCCUCAGGUUGCUCCAGGGUGGGUUAGAUUGGAUAUUAGGGAAAAAUUCUUCGUGGAAAGGGCUUUCCAGCCCUGGCAUAGGCUGGAGUGGAAGCACCAUUCUUGGAGGUAUUUAAAAGCCAUAGGGAUGUGGCAUUUGAGGACAUGGUUUAGUGGUGAACAUGGUGGUGAGUUAAUUCUUGGACUUAGUGAUUUUCUCUAAAAUCUUUUCCGACCUCAAUGAUUCUAUAAUUUGAUUCUCUGAAAUCAUCACCUGCCCAAGUGCUUCCUGCUUGUCCCACAGCACAGACCAGUGGCUCUCCCUGCAGUUAUCUGGGGAAAAAAAAAAGUGAUGGGAGCCACUGAAAGGGGCUGGGGUGAUGCAAGAUUUAGAGUUUCUUGAGUCAUGGAGAAGUAGCUCCAGCAAAGCCCGACCCUUCCAACACUCAGCACUCAGUCCCACAGCAGAGAGCAGCCAAAAAGCAGAUUUUGGGCUCUCAUUUCUUAAGAUGUGGGGCCAAAACAGCUCACAGGAGCCUCUGCAGUUGUCCAUGCCCCUGCUGUGGCUUCCCAGGAAGCUCUUCACAGUGAGGUCUUACUUCUAGAGCUCACUUAAGUUCUCUGAAGAUUUUUUUAGCUCAUGAAACACAGCAAAGGCUGCUGGCCAAUGCUGGAAUGGAGUUCUUUUGGAUCCUGUUGCCAGCGCUUUUUUUCAGUGGCGAUUUCCUCAUGUUGCAUGUUAAGCAACAGGUUGGAGCUUUUCCCUUUCCAGCUGUUCUAGACAAGAUUUUAUUACUAACCCCAGAUUUACAUCUCGUUGGGACUGUGUGCUUUCCCAAGCUGUAUAUUUCACAAGAAUAAUUGGGAAGGGGGAAGCUCUCCACAGCUUUCCUUCCCAAAGCUUCAUUAAAUGAGCAGCUCUGUUUCCCUUGCCUGCAGCUGCGAAAACGCCGCGCGCUGAGAGGCGGCGAAUUGACCAAAUGCAACGUUUUUUUCAUGUGCAUUCCCUCCCAAAUCUCUGUAACUGCACAUUUGAUCUGCAGAGGAUCCUUUUGUGGUGGCAGCCUCCAGGCUGACCUGCUCGGAGCAAGCCAUAAAAUGAGCCGUGUUCCUCUAAUUUGUCUUGGUAGCGGAGGGAUGCGGCGGCUCGCGAGGCCGGAAUGCUGCCACGCGGAGAGGCCUUGCUGAGCACAUCCCAGUGUGCCUCUGGUAGAGCUCCAGGAUCCAUGCCGAGCAUCAAAUCCAUGAUUAAAUGGCUCCGGGGGACACAAUGCGCUCGUCCCCAUCCAUCACUGAACAAAACCUGGGAGCUGAGCCCGGCGCGGUGCUCCGGCUGCUGGCUUUGUCCCAGUUUUGUCCCUGCUGGUUCCCACAGCCCCUCCACCAAACUGUGAGCUCAGCCUUCCUCCCUCCGGAGCGAGGCAGGAUGGAAGAGGAGGAUGGAGUGCUGCUGGCUGUAAUUAUCAUCACCUUUGUUUUCAUGGAUGACUGAAAAUGAGUUUAAUUUCAGUUUCCGCAGAGGGUGAAGGGAAUCUCUGCUUGCCGUUUGUUGACCACACUCCUGGAUUUCCACUGGGCAAGCCAAAUCUGAAGGAAAAAAACCAUCUUUCCAAGUGAUCUCAUUGUUGUUUCCUUCCCCUGGAGCCAACAAACAGAGUGAAGUGGUCAGCAAGGUACCGCUCCGUCGGAUAUCCCGGAAACGCUGCAGGGAGCCCGCUCAGGAGCUGCAUUUUGCCAUGAACGAGGCUCAAAAGGAGAUUUAGAGGCAGUGGUGACUCUGCAGGGUGGAAAUCAGUGAUGGAGCCUGAGGACAUGAAUGUUCUUCUUUGGAGAAAAAGGAGGGUUUCAGAGGAAUUAGGUCACUGAUCCCACUGCAGCGCUAGUGGCUCCCUCCUCUUGCAAAGGAUGUGGGAAGCACUGGAAUGAACAGGGAGGUGGGUGGGAAGCUCUUGGAGAUGAAUCAGCAGCAUGAAAAUCCUACUUAAAUUAAAUGCUGACAAAAGGAGAUGAAAAGCUUAGAUGGAUUUUCCCUUCCUGACGUCCCCGGCAUUCUCAGCUCACAUUUCUGAGACAGAAAACAUUGCAAGCUGAAAACAGAGUCCAGGAAUGCAAAAUUCCUCCUAAGGAGAAAUUCUGACUGAUUUCUGGGGAAAAUGGUGGGUGACAGAUGAAGGGAAAUGGUCUUAGAGAGAAAGAGCUUCUGUGAGUCUCUUUGGGAGAGGAAAAGCAGGAGAAGUUUUCAUGGCUCGUUCAUUGCAAGGGCCUGGAGUGCCAGGACAAGGGGAAUGGCUUCACACUGACUGAGGGGACAUGUAGAUGGAAUAUUGGGAAGAAGUUUUUUGCUCUGAGGGUGGUGAGGCCCUGGCACAGGUUGCCCAGAGAAGCUGUGGCUCUGCUCACAGCAGGGAGGUGCAACGAGAUCAUCUUUAAAGUGUCUUCCAACCCAAACCAUUCUGGAAUUCUGUGAUUCAUAUCUUCAUAGAAACCCUAACAAUUCUGCAGUGUGAUGCAAUGGAGUUACAGUGAGCAGAAGCAUCCUGGCCAAUUUACUUUCUUAAUCAUCUCCUGUGGAUGCCUUAGGAGGAGCCCAGAGCUCUCCAGGACCACCGGCUGAGAAGCUCUGCCCAACAUGGAGAGGCUUGGAGAUGCUCUUCCCUUGCACAUCCAGCCUUUGAAGAUGCUGCUCUGCCUCAAGUGGCAGCUUCUCCCCAGGCCAACAGGCAGAGACUUGAGAGCGAGCUGGGGAACUGCAAAAUCAGGGGAUGCUGGCUUAAAUCAGUUUUUAAGCAGUGUGUCCUCAGGCGGUGUUGAGAGGAGGCUCCUGCAAUGAGCCAGUGAAGAGAGGGAUUUAUGCUCCAGAGGA